Orcinus orca (killer whale) is the source of this 1970-nucleotide long non-coding RNA. RefSeq lists it as uncharacterized. The record is from RefSeq and is a predicted model, not a curated record. Lineage: Eukaryota; Metazoa; Chordata; Mammalia; Artiodactyla; Delphinidae. The transcript has 4 exons.
GCGAAUGUCCAUGUGCCGAAGGCCGAAGGGCCGAAGAGCCGAAGAGCCGAAGAGCCGAAGGGCCGAAGAGGACACCCGCGCGCGGUGAUUGGUCGGCUGGCAGUGGAGGAAAUCCGUAUCUGAUUGGCAGGAGAGUGGCGAACGCGGGGGGGCCGCGCGUGGAGAGGCCUCGGUGUCAGGGGUCGCUGGGAAGCAGGGGCUCUCGAUAGCAAGGCUUUCCCUGCCCUCGGGCGCCGGCAGCUGACCUCCGGACAAGCGCCGCCGAGUGGCGGCGGGGCGCCUCCGCGUCUCGGGGGUCUUCGCUUGCCCCGGGUGGAGGGCCUACCGCGGGAUAGCUCCAUUGGGAAGGGAGACUCCGGCUAGCGCGGCAGCGUCCGAGCUGGGGCAGUUUUGCGGCGCGGCGCUGCCUUAGGGGUAGGGGUGGGGGUGGGGGGCGGGGCUUGUUGGCCUCUGCAGGCUCAGGGAGGCAGGUGGCCCCGUCUAGUCGGCCAUCCACCCUGCAAAACCGCGGCUCGGGAGGCCCAACCGGGCGAGCUGGACGCGCUCGCAGCACUGGGGGCCGUGAGCUCCCGGCCGCAGGGUCGGUGUGAAUCACCCCAGAGCUCUUAGAAACACCGACAGCCAGGUUGCCCAGUUCUGGGGAAGUGAGGGGGGAUUUCUAGGACUGGGGCCCGACGGAAGGUAUUUUUUGAGCGUUCACCAGGCAAUUAUGUGUAGUCGGCGUUGAGAAUCGCCACUGCCUGCUCAUGGAUGGCACUGUCGGGCUGGUUUGAAGUCAGGUGCGUAAAGUUUCCUGCACACAGUAGGUCUUAAAAACGUUUGAGCUCGUCUCCCCUGGCCCCGCCUUCUCGCCAGGAGCAAUCAGUCCUACAAUAGCUGUAUUGAUAGACAUUGGAGAGCUCAUCCUGUAGAAGCAGUGAUGCAAGAAAGCUUCGGGUUUUUUUUUUUUUUAAUUAUCCCGUGGAACACUUGUUAUUCAGAAUUUAAAACAUUAUAGAUAAGAUAAAAGAACAUUUCUCAGUGAAGUCUAAUACUGUUCAAAUUCAUUUUUACCUGAAAGAUACACAGUUAACACCACAGAUAGCUGGAAUUUUCUUGUCUUCCAUACAUUAAGGAGUUCUCAGGUCAGGCCUAGGAGGAUGAUGGUGAUGGUUUCUCCAAAUAAUGAAAUUCCCACUAUGGGAACCAAGAGUACAAGUGAUAUAGAGUAGGAGCUCCAAGCUGAAAGGGUGUGUUGUUCCCUUAGGUACAGAAGGAGAGGUUUCUGCAGAGCUCGAGUCGGCCAGCUAGUAGCCACUAGCCACCUGAAGUGUGGGUAGGCCAGAUUGAGAUCUGCUCUAAGUGUAAAAUGCACACUGGAUUACUAAAAUAAGAGGCCAAGGAACUGAGGGCAGCUUCCAGCCAACAGCCAGAAAGGAACCAAGACCCUCAGUCCAGUAGCUUGUUAGGAACUGAGUCCUACCAAGGACCAGAACAUGAACUUAGAAGUGGACCCUUCUCUAGUUGAGCCUUGAGAUGCCUUCAGCCCCAGUGAACACCUUGACUGCAGCCUUCUGAGAGAUCCUGAGCCAGAGGACACUGUUAAACCUCACCCAGAUUCCUGAUCCAUAGAAUUAUGAGGUAAGGAGUCUCAGACCAAGGGAGAAGACAUGAUUUGCCCAAGAUUGCCCAACUAGUUGGAAUUAGAAACCAGCUCUUUGGAUCCAAGUCUGGAGUAUUAGUGAUGACGCUCUGAAUGGAAAAGAAAAACGUACUUCUGGUUAAUUAAAUGCAUAUCUAAACUUUAAAUAAAAACCAUUUCCUAUGCUGGGCUUCAAGAUGGCGGAGGAGUAAGACGUGGAGAUCACCUUCCUCCCCACAAAUACGUCAGAAAUACAUCUACAUGUGGAACAACUCCUACAGAACACCUACUGAAUGCUGGCAGAAGACCUCAGACUUCCCAAAAUACAUAUACUUUUUUUUUCCCUUUU